CUGUUUGAAAAAUAAAUUAAGAUAUAAUAAUAAUUAUUGUGGAAUUGGAAGGCAAGGAGUGGAAGCGCAGACAGAGACCUAAAUUAUGGUUAGCGGACGGAGCAAUCUGGCAGCUAAGACAGUAGAGAGGUAGCCGAGCCAAAUCCCGAUGACGCAACCCAAGUCACCACACCUAUUCUAUUCCCUCUUUACUUCACGCGCUUACCCACGUCCCGGCGACCCCUAUCUUUUAUUUCCCCUACACUUUCGCCCCAUGCGUCCGGCGCGUCACCUUCGCCGCACCGACCCCGUUUUCUUGUAUUUUUUCUUGGUCAGAGAUCCCCUUUGCUCUUUCACCUUCUCUCUCACAUCAAUAUCACACGAACCGAGAAUAACCUAAUACACCACCAUCACCAACGAGAAUACGACGACGACCACCACCACCAUCCACCAUUAGAAAGAGAUGGGUGACCUCACGGAUUCUGUUACGCAGUCCACCACCCCUCACUCACGACCGUUGCCUAUCCGUGAGGAUUGCUGGAGCGAGGAGGCUACCUCUACUCUUGUCGAAGUUUGGGGCAAAAGGUAUUUGGAGCUCAACCGAGGUAAUCUCCGUCAGAAGGACUGGCAGGAAGUCGCCGACGCCGUCAACGCCAAACAUGGUCAUACGAAGAAGACUCACCGUACGGAUGUGCAGUGUAAGAACCGUAUCGACACGAUUAAGAAGAAGUACAAGAUCGAGAAGGCUAAGGUUACGUCCUCUAACGGAACGCUAACAUCGUCGUGGCCUUUCUUCGAGAGCUUAGAUAACUUGAUCGGAUCUAAUUUUACCGCUAAGAAACAAGCUUCUCCGUCUCCUCCGGUGGCUCUGCCUGUAACUACCUACAGGAGGACUCCCACUUCGACUCCGCCUACGGCGGUGGUGGCUUUGCCCCAGAAGAGGCCGUUGGAUGAUGGCUAUUUCAGGAGGAAUUACUCCGCCAUGGCUGCAGCUGCGGCAGCCGCAGCUGAAUCGGAGAGUGAAGAGGAGGAGGAGGAGGAGAGGUGGAGAUUCCAAAGAGGGAGUAGUAAAACAGUUGAUGAGAAGGGGAGAAUGUAAAACCUUGGGAACUUUCUUGCCGUUAGUUUUGA
Molecule: unclassified non-coding RNA, 1110 nt
Filed under: Hevea brasiliensis (rubber tree)
Lineage: Eukaryota; Viridiplantae; Streptophyta; Magnoliopsida; Malpighiales; Euphorbiaceae
Source: RNAcentral